GACGAACGCUGGCGGCGUGGAUUAGGCAUGCAAGUCGAACGGUAUCAUCCUUUCGGGGGUGAGAGAGUGGCGAACUGGUGAGUAACACGUAGGUUAUCUACCCUCAAGACGGGGACAACCCAGGGAAACUUGGGCUAAUACCGGAUGUGAGCAACUUUUAGUUGUUUGAAAGGUGGCGUAAGCUGUCGCUUGGGGAUGAGCCUGCGUCCUAUUAGUUAGUUGGUGAGGUAACGGCUCACCUAGGCAAUGAUAGGUAGGCGGCCUUAACGGGUGGUCGCCCACACUGGGAUUGAGAUACGGCCCAGACUCCUACGGGAGGCAGCAGUCGAGAAUAGUCUACAAUGGUCGGAAGACUGAUAGUGCGACGCCGCGUGAACGAUGAAUCCCUUCGGGGUGUAAAGUUCUUUUAUAUGUGAGCAGUGCUUCUUAUAUUAACAGUAUGGGGAGAGAUAUUAGCAUAUGAAUAAGCAACGGCUAACUCCGUGCCAGCAGCCGCGGUAAACU
Molecule: ribosomal RNA, 504 nt
Filed under: uncultured bacterium
Lineage: Bacteria
Description: bacterial SSU rRNA
Rfam family: Bacterial small subunit ribosomal RNA
Source: RNAcentral